CCUACGGGGGGCAGCAGUGGGGGAUAUUGCACAAUGGGGGAAACCCUGAUGCAGCGACGCCGCGUGGGCGAAGAAGUAUUUCGGUAUGUAAAGCCCUAUCAGCAGGGAAGAAGAAAUGACGGUACCUGAGUAAGUAGCACCGGCUAAAUACGUGCCAGCAGCCGCGGUAAUACGUAUGGUGCAAGCGUUAUCCGGAUUUACUGGGGGUAAAGGGAGCGCAGGCGGCACGGCAAGCCUGAUGUGAAAGCCCGCGGCCCAACCGCGGGACUGCAUUGGGAACUGUUGAACUAGAUUGCAGGAGAGGUAAGUGGAAUUCCUAGUGUAGCGGUGAAAUGCGUAGAUAUUAGGAGGAACACCAGUGGCGAAGGCGGCUUACUGGACUGUAAAUGACGCUGAGGCUCGAAAGCGUGGGGAGCAAACAGGAUUAGAUACCCCAGUAGUC
RNAcentral lists this ribosomal RNA (442 nucleotides) under uncultured bacterium. RNAcentral describes it as "partial 16S ribosomal RNA". It matches the Rfam family "Bacterial small subunit ribosomal RNA", at positions 338 to 795 of the family's 1533-position model. The record is from RNAcentral.